This 85-nucleotide transfer RNA is filed under the name Clostridiales bacterium. RNAcentral's name for it is "tRNA-Leu". It matches the Rfam family "tRNA". Rfam says of the family: Transfer RNA (tRNA) molecules are approximately 80 nucleotides in length. Their secondary structure includes four short double-helical elements and three loops (D, anti-codon, and T loops). The record is from RNAcentral. Lineage: Bacteria; Bacillati; Bacillota; Clostridia; Eubacteriales. RNAcentral also lists the same sequence under 1 other name.
GCGGGAGUGGCGGAAUUGGUAGACGCGCACGUUUGAGGGGCGUGUGGAUACAUCCAUACGGGUUCGAUUCCCGUCUCCCGCACCA